This 264-nucleotide ribosomal RNA is filed under the name uncultured archaeon. RNAcentral's name for it is "partial 16S ribosomal RNA". It matches the Rfam family "Archaeal small subunit ribosomal RNA", at positions 719 to 982 of the family's 1478-position model. The record is from RNAcentral.
ACACGACUACAUUAGAUACCCGUGUAGUCCUAGCCGUAAACGAUACUCGCUAGGUGUCGGCCACGGUGCGACCGUUGUCGGUGCCGUAGGGAAGCCGUGAAGCGAGCCACCUGGGAAGUACGGCCGCAAGGCUGAAACUUAAAGGAAUUGCGGGGGAGCACCACAACGGGUGGAGCCUGCGGUUUAAUUGGACUCAACGCCGGGAAGCUCACCGGAUAAGACAGCGGAAUGAUUGCCGGGCUGAAGACCCUGCAUGACCAGCUG